Molecule: ribosomal RNA, 497 nt
Filed under: uncultured bacterium
Lineage: Bacteria
Description: partial 16S ribosomal RNA
Rfam family: Bacterial small subunit ribosomal RNA
Source: RNAcentral
GAUGAACGCUGGCGGCGUGCCUAAUACAUGCAAGUCGAGCGAACAGACGAGGAGCUUGCUCCUCUGACGUUAGCGGCGGACGGGUGAGUAACACGUGGAUAACCUACCUAUAAGACUGGGAUAACUUCGGGAAACCGGAGCUAAUACCGGAUAAUAUAUUGAACCGCAUGGUUCAAUAGUGAAAGACGGUUUUGCUGUCACUUAUAGAUGGAUCCGCGCCGCAUUAGCUAGUUGGUAAGGUAACGGCUUACCAAGGCAACGAUGCGUAGCCGACCUGAGAGGGUGAUCGGCCACACUGGAACUGAGACACGGUCCAGACUCCUACGGGAGGCAGCAGUAGGGAAUCUUCCGCGAUGGGGGAAAGCCUGACGGAGCAACGCCGCGUGAGUGAUGAAGGUCUUCGGAUCGUAAAACUCUGUUAUUAGGGAAGAACAAAUGUGUAAGUAACUAUGCACGUCUUGACGGUACCUAAUCAGAAAGCCACGGCUAACUACGUG